ACAAUGAUACUCCUGCCCAGCCACAGCCGCACGCAAUGGGGGCAGCUCGGAGAGAUCCUCGGAGGGGUGAGAUUCCCGUGA
RNAcentral lists this non-coding RNA (81 nucleotides) under chicken gut metagenome. Its description in RNAcentral is "pemK RNA". It matches the Rfam family "pemK RNA". The record is from RNAcentral.